This 441-nucleotide ribosomal RNA is filed under the name Pauropsalta johanae. RNAcentral's name for it is "partial large subunit ribosomal RNA". Lineage: Eukaryota; Metazoa; Arthropoda; Insecta; Hemiptera; Cicadidae. The record is from RNAcentral.
AAUUAAAUGGCCGCGGUAAAUUAACCGUGCAAAGGUAGCAUAAUAAAUAGUCUUUUAAUUGAAGGCUUGAAUGAAUGAUUGGAUGAAAUGUUAACUUAAUUAAUAUUAAAAAUUGAAAUUAAUUCUUAAGUAAAAAAGCUUAAAUAUAUGAAUGGGACGAGAAGACCCUAUAGAAUUUUAAAAAUUUUUUGAAUAAAUUAAUUUUAGUUAAAUGAUUUUUUUUUUAUUUAAAAAAUUUUUUUGUUGGGGUGACAUUAAAAUUUAAAUAACUUUUAAUAUAUAAUUCAUUAAUAUAUGUUGCUUUUGAUCCAAAUUUUUGAUUGUAAGAUUAAAUUACCUUAGGGAUAACAGCGUAAUUAAUUUAGAGAGUUCAUAUCGAUGAAAAUGAUUGCGACCUCGAUGUUGGAUUAAGAAUAGAAAUUGGAGCAAAAUUUAUUAUUU